GACGAACGCUGGCGGCGUGCUUAACACAUGCAAGUCGAACGGAAAGGCCCUGCUUUUGUGGGGUGCUCGAGUGGCGAACGGGUGAGUAACACGUGAGUAACCUGCCCUUGACUUUGGGAUAACUUCAGGAAACUGGGGCUAAUACCGGAUAGGAGCUCCUGCUGCAUGGUGGGGGUUGGAAAGUUUCGGCGGUUGGGGAUGGACUCGCGGCUUAUCAGUUUGUUGGUGGGGUAGUGGCUUACCAAGGCUUUGACGGGUAGCCGGCCUGAGAGGGUGACCGGCCACAUUGGGGCUGAGAUACGGCCCAGACUCCUACGGGAGGCAGCAGUGGGGAAUAUUGCACAAUGGGCGGAAGCCUGAUGCAGCAACGCCGCGUGCGGGAUGACGGCCUUCGGGUUGUAAACCGCUUUCGCCUGUGACGAAGCGUGGGUGACGGUAAUGGGUAAAGAAGCACCGGCUAACUACGUG
RNAcentral lists this ribosomal RNA (468 nucleotides) under uncultured bacterium. RNAcentral's name for it is "partial 16S ribosomal RNA". It matches the Rfam family "Bacterial small subunit ribosomal RNA", at positions 28 to 507 of the family's 1533-position model. The record is from RNAcentral.